UGGAAGGGCCUCUGCUCUAUUGUUGCUGCUGCUUCAUUGAAUUUAGAUAGCAAGAAUACUUAGCAGUAACACUCAUAUCUCUCACUCACUCGUGGUUUCUUCCUCGCCCCCAGUCUUUGCUAGAUUUGUUCUAAAUGCAUUUCGGUCUGAACUUACAUUGUGAAGAGUAUUUGAGCUGCCUUCAUAAUAUUUUCGACUAUUC
This 202-nucleotide long non-coding RNA is filed under the name Capsicum annuum. RNAcentral describes it as "long non-coding RNA (CANN_LNC001922)". The record is from RNAcentral. Lineage: Eukaryota; Viridiplantae; Streptophyta; Magnoliopsida; Solanales; Solanaceae.